UGUCAACCCCUUCUCUCAGGGAAGAAGAAAGUGACGGUACCUGAGGAAGAAGCAUCGUGCUAACUCCGUGCCAGCAGCCGCGGUAAUACGGGGGAUGCAAGCGUUUAUCCGGAAUGAUUGGGCGUAAAGAGCUCCGUAGGUGGCUCAUCAAGUCUGCUGUUAAAGGGCGAGGCUUAACUUCNUAAAACCANUGGAAACUGAAGAGCUAGAGUAUAGUAGGGGCAGAGGGAAUUCCUGGUGUAGCGGUGAAAUGCGUAGAGAUCAGGAACAACACCGGUGGCNAAAGCGCUCNGNUGGGCUACAACUGACNCUNANGNACGCAANGCUANGGGAGCGAAUGGGGAUUACAUACCCC
This 355-nucleotide ribosomal RNA is filed under the name uncultured cyanobacterium. RNAcentral's name for it is "partial 16S ribosomal RNA". It matches the Rfam family "Bacterial small subunit ribosomal RNA", at positions 424 to 788 of the family's 1533-position model. The record is from RNAcentral. Lineage: Bacteria; Bacillati; Cyanobacteriota.